UACGGAGGAUGCAAGCGUUAUCCGGAUUUAUUGGGUUUAAAGGGUGCGUAGGCGGGGCAGCAAGUCAGUGGUGAAAUCUUUCGGCUUAACUGAAAAACUACCAUUGAAACUGUUGUCCUUGAGUAUAUUUGGAGUGGGCGGAAUGUGUCAUGUAGCGGUGAAAUGCUUAGAUAUGACACAGAACACCAAUCGCGAAGGCAGCUCACUAAACUAUAACUGACGCUGAAGCACGAAAGCGUGGGGAUCAAACAGG
RNAcentral lists this ribosomal RNA (253 nucleotides) under uncultured prokaryote. Its description in RNAcentral is "partial 16S ribosomal RNA". It matches the Rfam family "Bacterial small subunit ribosomal RNA", at positions 524 to 776 of the family's 1533-position model. The record is from RNAcentral.